RNAcentral lists this ribosomal RNA (492 nucleotides) under uncultured bacterium. RNAcentral's name for it is "partial 16S ribosomal RNA". It matches the Rfam family "Bacterial small subunit ribosomal RNA", at positions 29 to 507 of the family's 1533-position model. The record is from RNAcentral.
AGUGAACGCUGGCGGUAGGCCUAACACAUGCAAGUCGAACGGCAGCACAGUAAGAGCUUGCUCUUACGGGUGGCGAGUGGCGGACGGGUGAGGAAUACAUCGGAAUCUACUUUUUCGUGGGGGAUAACGUAGGGAAACUUACGCUAAUACCGCAUACGACCUACGGGUGAAAGCAGGGGAUCUUCGGACCUUGCGCGAUUGAAUGAGCCGAUGUCGGAUUAGCUAGUUGGCGGGGUAAAGGCCCACCAAGGCGACGAUCCGUAGCUGGUUUGAGAGGAUGAUCAGCCACACUGGAACUGAGACACGGACCAGACUCCUACGGGAGGCAGCAGUGGGGAAUGUUGGACAAUGGGCGCAAGCCUGAUCCAGCCAUACCGCGUGGGUGAAGAAGGCCUUCGGGUUGUAAAGCCCUUUUGUUGGGAAAGAAAAGCAGCAGGUUAAUACCCCGCUGUUCUGACGGUACCCAAAGAAUAAGCACCGGCUAACUUCGUG